Molecule: RNA transcript, 2013 nt
Organism: Marmota monax (woodchuck)
Lineage: Eukaryota; Metazoa; Chordata; Mammalia; Rodentia; Sciuridae
Gene: Chrac1
Gene name: chromatin accessibility complex subunit 1
Exons: 3
Source: RefSeq, a predicted model, not a curated record
UGGCCGUGGGCAAGGACAAGUGCGGGGAGCAGCGGCUCGUGUCGCUGCCCCUGUCCCGCAUCCGGGUCAUCAUGAAGAGCUCCCCCGAGGUGUCCAGCAUCAACCAGGAAGCACUGGUGCUCACGGCCAAAGCCACGGUGAGGCGGAGUGAGGGGCGGGCGCCCUUAACCGUCCGCCCCGCUGGGCCCCACGGCACUUCCGGGUCUCCUGCGGCCUCGGUCUCUCGCACCCCGCUUCCUGCCCUCGCCAGCGCGCGCUCCAGCGCCCGAGCUGUCCCGCCAUCCCCUGCGUGCCCUCACCACGCCCCCGGCCCUCCUGCUCGCCGCACCCCCUUCCGCUCCCAUCGUGCCCUGCGCUCCUGCCGUCCCUCCCCCGCCGCGCCCUGCGUUCCCGCGCCCUCCACCGUUCCCCGGUCCCUGCGUGCCUAGAGUUGAACGUGCGGACCGUCACGGGUGUCCACCACCCCUUGUCCCGGCUGCAAAGACUUGGGUCAGAGGCAGCCCCCAAGGCUCUCCUUGUCCACGCCUAGGCGAGAGGGUCGGAUCGGCGACGUGUGCGGACCCCCGCCCCUCCUGGGCCCUGAGCGACUCGUGUCGACGAGCGCGGACCACAGCCUUCCCGUUCCCAGGCUGGGUCGCGUUUAAGUCACACGGCUAAUUGCUUCAACUUUCUUAGGCGGCUUCCAGCCCCACUAACUCAGUGCGUGGUGUUUGGCGGUGAAGGUGGGCUGGGGGCGAGGAAGCGGAGGUCGGGGUUUUCCCCGUCGUGCCAGAGCUGUGCGUUUUUAGAGCCCAGCAAAAUAGACAUCCCUGGGUGUUCUUGUGAGGUGGCUCUCAAGAUCUCCAGACACCAGAGGCCUGGGUGCUCGGCCCCUGGUAGGAAACUGUGUGGUACUCACAAAAAAACAAUCACCUCCUUCUGUAUACUUUGAAACCUGUAAACCACAGGGCAACUGCGAUUGCAUGUUCCCGUGAGAUCUUGGGACUUUCAUGUCUUCCUGUUCAGUUUCAUGGAGCUCUUUGUUCAGUACCUAGCCACCUAUUCCUACAGACAUGGCAGUGGAAAAGAAAAGAAAGCACUGACUUACAAUGACUUAGCGAAUACUGCAGAGGAAUCGGACACUUUUCAGUUUCUUGCAGCUUUAUGUUUUUAAGAUAUAUUACCAAAGAAGAUUUUAGCUAGUAAGUACCUGAAAAUGCUUAAAGAGAAGAAGGAGGAGGAUGAGGACGAUGAAGGAAGUGACGAUGAUGAAGCGGAGUCCUAGACCAAGGAAGAAGGCUUCUAGAAAUCACCUGGCCAGGACCCUCCUUGGUGACCCUCUUGCUCUGAAGCAAUCAAAUCACCAUGUGGCUUUGGUUUCCCUUUCCAGAAAUUUCCAGUACAGCAUAUUCCUUCAUGACUAAAACUGAUCAUCUCCUGCAUCUACACCAUGAAGAGCUGAAGGGAAAAUAGUGCAACUGUGGUCUGACAGGCCACCCUGCAGCUGAAACCACUGUCCUUUCCUUUGAACUUGCAGACAGAUUCUGACAAGCUUCUGGAUUAGCUGUGGAUUUAUGAUUUAUAUUCUGAAAUUCUUAUAAGAACUGGAUUUAGUUUCAGCUAAAUAUGUAGUUUAUAGUCAUAUGCUUCCUUUCAGUUAUGUAUUUUUAUAAAAUUUGACUAUGUGUUCAAAUUUUAUUUUUUUAUUGUAAAGAAAUAUACUUUUUCUUUUCUAUUAAGGUCUGUACAUAUUUUUACAGUAAUGUGCUUUGUGGAACUAGUUUUAGGACUCAUUUGUUCUAAUCCUUUGCUUACUACCUGAAAGUUUUGUAAAAUUUAAAAGCAAGCAUUUCUUUGUGGGGCUGUGGCUCAGCAGUGGGAUUGAUUCCCAGAACCAAAAAACAAAAACCCACUUUUAUUCCCAAAGGUAAACUCCCAGAUUAUCAAAUGAAAUGCAGAAAUACUGCCUCUGCCUUGGUAUACUGUCCUUAUAACCUACAUCCAGUAAAAUCGCCCUUUUUGGUUUCAAGUGUA